GUUAGCUCAGUGGUCAGAGCACCCUUCUAGAGUUCAGGUCAAAUAAGUCAUGGGUUCUCAAAUCCCAUAGCA
This 72-nucleotide transfer RNA is filed under the name Endocronartium harknessii PhW48OC. RNAcentral describes it as "tRNA-Und (NNN) (tRNA-Und-NNN-32-1)". The record is from RNAcentral. Lineage: Eukaryota; Fungi; Basidiomycota; Pucciniomycetes; Pucciniales; Coleosporiaceae.